UUGGGUAUACCCAAUAAGAAGUGUCGCUGAAUAUGCUUAAAACACCCUAAUUGGGUAUUUGCAGGUUAGUACCCAACAAAACUUGGACACGACGAUUUGUCCAAAAAAGUGUCCAAAAAAGUUGCUUUCACGGACGCACCGUGUUUUGUGUUUCAGUUUUACAUUCGGAACUCUAAAUUCUCGAGAGUUCCGAAAAUCAACUUCCGUUGAUCCUGAUCAUAACAACGUUUGUUUUCAUGGAAAAAAAAUAUGGCGACUAAGAAACACUUAAUGUCAACAAGAUUGUCUGAUUGACAAGAGAAAAGGUCAAACAGGAACUUCAAUUGUGAACAUUGCAGAGAACACACUCAUCAGAAGAUGACCCUCAGAAAUAGGACAAUUAAUGAAUAAAAAGGACAGAGGCAGAUUUGAAGGAGAUGCAUGAAAUGAGGAAUAUUUCAAAGAUUGCCUGAGCAUAACCACUGCUACUGGAUAAACAUAUGGCAAUAUAAAAGAGCAGGGUCAAUGGAGGUAUCAUACAGUAUAGGCCAUGAGAGACCCUGAAGAAGAAAGAAUGGAAGAGAAACAAAAAUAAAACCAUUUUGACAUUUAUUGAAAUAUAGGAUCAAAGCCUUACAUGUAAAAUUUGGGCAUGUAAUGACUUUUCUCUUGCUCUAAGACUUAUAACAGUGAUGAUUUGAUUUAACAUCUUUAUCCCGAUUUGUCGAAAAGAUUUGGACAUAGUGCAUCAAUUAUUUUAAAGUUUUGAUACAACAAAUUCAUUCAUUGUACUUGUAACUGAGUUUUCGGGUGCGACACUGUUUAUUCGGCUUCAAAACUAAAUUUGUGA
Long non-coding RNA from Saccostrea cuccullata (small rock oyster), 829 nucleotides. RefSeq lists it as uncharacterized. Lineage: Eukaryota; Metazoa; Mollusca; Bivalvia; Ostreida; Ostreidae. The transcript is spliced from 3 exons. The record is from RefSeq and is a predicted model, not a curated record.